AGUAAAGUGGCUGAUAAAGUUAGGCGAUAAAUUGUAAAUUUAUUUAUGGGUGUGAAAUCUCUUUACUA
This 68-nucleotide transfer RNA is filed under the name Extatosoma tiaratum (giant prickly stick insect). RNAcentral's name for it is "tRNA-Tyr". It matches the Rfam family "tRNA". From Rfam's summary of the family: Transfer RNA (tRNA) molecules are approximately 80 nucleotides in length. Their secondary structure includes four short double-helical elements and three loops (D, anti-codon, and T loops). The record is from RNAcentral. Lineage: Eukaryota; Metazoa; Arthropoda; Insecta; Phasmatodea; Phasmatidae.